This 650-nucleotide ribosomal RNA is filed under the name uncultured bacterium. Its description in RNAcentral is "bacterial SSU rRNA". It matches the Rfam family "Bacterial small subunit ribosomal RNA", at positions 58 to 714 of the family's 1533-position model. The record is from RNAcentral.
CAAGUCGAGGGGUAACAGAGGGAGCUUGGCUCUUGCUGAGAACAGCGGCGCGGGGGCGAAUCGCGUAUGGAUCUUGCUUGGACUUGGGGGAGCCUUUUGAAUGAACAGCUCCCCCCAUAGUCUCUUACAGUGGCAUCACUUCUUCGGCUCUGUUACUUUAAUUGGUGAAGUGGGAUUCUAUUAGUUUGUUGGUGUGGGCUCACCAAGGCAACACUACCAAGCUGGUUUGCCCUGAUAAUCGGAUCCCCCGCAACGGAACUGAGACCCAGACUCCAAUCCUACGGAACGCUGGGGAAUAUUGUAUUGUGCAAUGAAGCCUGAUCUAAUCCUGCCAUGUGUGGGGAAAAAGGAUUCCCCUAUGAAUUGAAUUCUGCUCUUGAGUAAAAGGAGUGACUCACUCCUGCGCAACCUUGACGUUACUGCCAGAAUAAGGACCGGCUAACUCCGUGCCAGCAGCCGCGGUAAUACGGAGGGUGCAAGCGUUAUCCGGAAUCACUGGGUUUAAAGGGUCCGUAGGCGGUUUGUUAAGUCAGAUGUGAAAGUUUGCGGCUCAACUGGAAAACUGCCUUUCAAACUGGUAGUCUAGAGUGAUUAUAGAGUGUGUUAGAAUAUCUAGGUGUAGCGGUGAAAUGCAUAGAUGAUCAUCUAUA